GGAUGUGAGGGCGAUCUGGCUGCGACAUCUGUCACCCAAUUGAUUGCCAGGGUUGAUUGGGCUGAUCUGGCUGGCUAAGCCAGUGUCCCCUUCUUCCCUCACUGCUCCAUGUAUGGCCCUUGCCAAGCUGUGUGCUCGGUUGAAGAGGACGGCCUUCCCCGAAUAGAGAUGGACCAGUCUUCGGUUGAGGGCAUAUGAGUAGAUGCGCUCUCCUGCUAGAACCUCCAAACAAGCUCUCAAGGAAUACAUAAUAUUAACUAUAAUAUCAGGAAAUAUAUGGUGUGUGUACAUAUAUUGCAGGAACUUUGGAACUGUGAAUUUAUAU
Molecule: unclassified non-coding RNA, 325 nt
Organism: Erinaceus europaeus (western European hedgehog)
Lineage: Eukaryota; Metazoa; Chordata; Mammalia; Eulipotyphla; Erinaceidae
Gene: 7SK
Rfam family: 7SK RNA
About the family: 7SK was discovered as an abundant small nuclear RNA in the mid-70s but a possible function has only recently been suggested. Two independent studies have found that 7SK RNA binds the CDK9/cyclin T complex (known as elongation factor P-TEFb).
Source: Ensembl